Molecule: non-coding RNA, 5034 nt
Organism: Chrysemys picta bellii (western painted turtle)
Lineage: Eukaryota; Metazoa; Chordata; Testudines; Emydidae
Source: RefSeq, a predicted model, not a curated record
CCCAGUUUAGUGUCAUCUGCAAACUUGCUGAGGGUGCAGUCCACGCCAUCCUCCAGAUCAUUGGAUGGACAGAUAUAAAAUCUGAACUCCAUGACUCUGUAGGGUAUUAUCGGGAUGUGAUGUGAUGUGUACACCUAUUUCGCUAGACAUCUCCUCCCCAAGCAUUGAUCACAAUAGUGGCAGCUCCAGAACACUCCUGAAUUGGUAGGAACACUAUGGGCUGCUCUACUAGGUCUUAUCUGUUUGCUGUGAAAGAAGCUGUACAAGGUAUAUUCUGACUUCAGAUCUAUUUAAGAGAUUUGACAGCAUGCUGAGAGCCAGUAGCUGGCUUGGCACUCUGAUCACUUAAGUGUUCCUUAGUCCCCUUCCUGAUGGAGAAGUGGAAUUGUUAAUUACCUAAUCAGAGUGGAGCAGAGGAGCUAAUUAUUGGUUAGCUGAGAGGGUAGUUAAAAAGCACUGGAAGUGCAAUGGGGAGAGAUUAAGGCCUGAUGUACACUAGAAAAUGUGGUUGACAUAACUACAUUGCUUAAGGGUGUGAAAAAUCCGCACCCCUGAGCUGUGUAGUUAGCCUAAACUAAGUCCCCAUGUAGGCAGCCCUAAGUGCAUGGAACAAUUCUUCUAUUGACAGCUGAUGGGAGAACUCCUCCUGUAGGCGUAGGUAGUGUCUACACCAAAGCAGUACAGUGGUGUAGCUGUGUCGCUGUAGCGUUUUAAGUGAAGACAAGCCCUAACAGAGCCCAGAGGAAGUAAGAUCUCAGGGUUGCGAGAGCUCUCUAUCUCCCUGGACAAAGGGUUGAGGACUAGAGAAAGCUGUAGAUAGAAUUGCUACAUGGGAUCAUGUUGGUGGAGGUAAUAUAAAUAAAACUCACAGAGAUGCUAACAGAAAGUGUCCAAAGCUUUUGUGUGGGUCUCAGGACAGGAGUGGAGCCUGCCCUGUUACAAGAAUAAUAAUAUUUGCUUGAAAUGUUACAGUAUUAAAACUAAAUGUCGCCUACUACCUCUACCAGUUCAGGCAAAGACUUUCUUGUCUAGCAUGUCACACCAGUGGUAAUUGUACCUUUUUUUUUACCACAUUCAGUCAAGGUUCUAGGUGCAGUUGCAACUUUUCUUCCUAUGCUGAGCGUAAAUGAACUGGCCAUUUAAAAAAAUAAAAAAUGUGGAAAAAACCUAAAGGCCAUUUGGAUUUAAUCCUAACUCAGGAUGAUGAUGACUUUACUGGCAUAUGGCACCCUGUCCCAAAGUAGAAAUCAUGAUUCUCCUGUUUGCACUGAAUAAGCUCUGUGGCCCAUCCUCUUUGGAGCUCAGUGCAGUUAAUCUAAUCUACUGAUACUUAAUCCACGACUCUUUAGCUGCCUGUGGCCCUUUACAGUCUUCAUGAGGCUCUCAGAAAUUGUGCAAAUCUGAGUGGCACUCCACUCCUCUAUUUAGAUUUGGCAAAUCAAUUCACCUGUGUUGAAAUAGCUGAGAUUUUCCUCCCUGUGGAUGGGGUGAAAAGGAGCCACUGAGAUUGUCUCCGUAUGUAAGAGUGGAACCACUUCCAAGUCACAGCCAGGAGAGGAGGAGAAAGAGGACUGGAAAGCCACCUCUCUUUUCCAUUCUGAUACCUUGAAAACUGCUAUGGUCUCCAGAUGUUGGCUAGUCUUUAAAGAAGAAAUUGCAAACUGGUAACAGUCCCUUGAUGGAACUGCCACCUCCCUCCCCAUACCCUACAGACCUCUUCAACUCUGUGAUUCCAUGACAAGGUUAUUAAUGGUUGACAGAAGCAAAGCGUGGAUGGACAUCUCCAGGCCAAAUUGUAACACAUUUCUGCUUCUACAGUGAAAAGAACUGGGAUAGAUCAUGAUCAAGGUCCUGAUUGAAAGUCCUGUGAAGUCAUUGGGGGUCCCUUCAUGGAUUUAAUUGGGCUUUGGGUCAGGCCCUGACUGAGAAAAAAUAUGGUGAAAUUCAAGCAGAGAAGGAAUCUGAUUUGCCCAUGGCCUUCUAACUAGUCAGAGGUAGAGCAGGGAUUAGAACUCUUUAACAGAUUCUGAGCUUAAUGAUUCACUCCAUCCCGUCAAACCUUCUGCGGAUUUUUCUCACUGAAUGUCUUGGGCAGGGCUAAACUUUGACAUUUUUGUUUUUCUCUGACUUAUGGAGGUUCAAAAUAAAUCAAUUUAGGACCGUGUCCUAUGACUGGUAAGAAGUCACAGAAAGAGUCUCCUUCCUCUAACACUGAACAAGUAACUUCAUUAGAAGAAGGAAAAUGGCAUUAUUCCUAAUUUUUUUUCUCACUGCUUUGCUGUAGAGCUUCUGCCUCAAACCUUCUCAAGCCCCCUCCUGGCUAGCAUCUGUUUAUAGUUGUAAACAAACAGGACACAUAUGCUCACACACAGCACAGAAUGAAGAGGAACAGGGCAAGUCUUGUACAGUUGUAUCCUGCUGGGAAUGACAACGGCACCAUGAUUCCUCUCUCAUCACACCAUUUUUUCUUCUUGGCUUCCAGUAUCUUUUGCAACCGCAGGGGAGAGAUUUGGUAGGGCUGAAAGAAGGCCCUACUACCAUUCCUACGAUGAAGAGGAGGAGGGGAUUUUUGCCAGAUAAACUGUCUCCUGUUAACUGAAACUUUGUAGCGAAUAGGACUCAAAUGCAUAUCAAAUGGUAUACACUUUAUAAUGAAAACAUGUCAGAUCCAAAUGUGUCAGAUCUUAAUCUAGUCUUAGAUUUCCUUGAAGGCCAAUUUCUUCCCCUGGCUACAUGCGGUUGUGUUUUUCACUGUAUGGGUUUGUCAUUCUACUCAACACUGGACACAACUCAAAACACAGUUUGAGAAGCUGUUUAGGCAGGUACAUAUGCUCAGUUUACUGGAGCAAUUGUUACCAGAAUAUCAGGCAACUAUGCAAAGCAUUAGUAAUAUAAAGCUCUGCCAUGUAGUGGUGAAGCCAUAACCCUGCAUUUGAACAGGCUAACAAAUACAGUACACCAUACAUUGGUAAGAUAACUUGACUGAAGUCAAUGGGAGCCUCAUGUAUGCAUCUGAAUAAUAGAAAUAUUGGGCCCAAAUCUGCCGUCAGCUAUUCCACUGAAAAUCCAUAGUAAUAUGUAAAAGCAGAACUGACACUAUGGAAAUUAGAGAUAUGAAAGCUGCCCAAGCAGAUUUUAAUUUGUCAAAAGUAUCAUGGACAACUUCCUCAAUGAGAAGGAACCACGAUGUGAAUGUUAAUACUUGUACAUUUAACACUUAGUCCCUACUGAUAUCUUCAUAAAGAAGUUCAUUAAAGAGACUGAGGGCUCAUUUAAUCUGGAAUUGCACAUUUUCAGGGGAAGCCUCUUCCAUUUUUGAUGACCUUCCUAGAUCCUUCAGGGUUCCAUCCUUCGCUGAUUAGUCCUUGCUUUGUGGCUACCAGCUUUCUGGCCAAGGAAGACUGGAUGAGGGGGCUUGAAAAUGGUGAGUGCUGUUUCUGAAUCAAGCAGAAAGCUUACUGAUGAAGGAUGGGAGGCACCUCCUCCCACAAGUGGUUGAGUUCAGUGUCUCCCCAGCAUUCUCAGGGCCAGCUGGCUUGGGGAGCAAAACCCAGAGUUAAAAAUAAAACAGCCACUAAAUGCCGUGUUUUUCUUUUUUCCUGGACUUGACCCAACAUUUUUUGGUGUAAUUUCUGGCUCACUACAGCUUCAGUCUGGGCGAGCAAAGGGGUAGUUGCCCCCAAGAGAAUCAAAAGCAGCAGAAAUGCAGCUACAUUGUAAGGACUGUUAUUAUGGUGGAAACACUGAUUAUUACUGGGAAGCGGGAGGGGAGUCAUCUGUCUUCUUCAUAUGCUACAUAUCAUUUUACAUAUGGUUUUCUGGCUAAAUGCUUUUCCUUUGAAUUAUUCAUUUGUAACAUAAAUUGGGUGAAUGCUUUGCAAAUUAUCCCAGUUGCAGGGAUUUUUGAAAGGCAAAAUUUCAAUAUUUUAAUGAAAUAUUUUAGCUUUUCAGUAUAUUUUAACAUGCCAUGGUGUUUUUAAGGGAAACCACAAGGUCAUAACCAGAAAAUACAAAGGUAAGAGUAGGUUAUUGUUUCUGUCAUUCCAUAACAUAAUCUGAAGAGUUUAAUGGCCACACGACCUUGUGUCAAAUAUGGCAGUUUCCUGCAAUAUUUUUGGGAGGUAUUACACUAUUAAAUGCCAAAGAUAAUACUUGAUAUGUCCAAAGAGGCCCCAAUCCUUCCUGGGAAGGGCUGGAAGGACAGACACUUGCCAGACUCCAAAUAAGUGUUUAGCAUGCAUGUAAGUUCUUUUAUUCUUUUUAAUAUGUUUUCUCUGUAAUGUUUUCACCUUAAGAAUAAAUGUGCUUGCUUAUAAAGAACUAUGGGGUAACUUGGCUGCUGGCAAUUACGUUGUUCAUAGCCUUCAAAGAAUAAGCAACGUUCAGAUGCUGGCCUGCUUAGGCAGUCUGACUAGGAAUAUCAGUGUAGACAAAGAACAGUGCAUCCUGGAAAAACCCCAGUCCGUAGGAUUGCCAAGUGUCCAGUUUUCAACUGGAACACUCGGUCGAAAAGAGACCGAGCGGCUCUGGUCAGCACCGCUGAUUGGGCCGUUAAAAGUCCGGUUGGUGGCGCAGGCAAGCUCCCUACCUCCAUGCCGCUCCCGGGAAACUGCUGGCAUGUCCAGCUCCUAGGCAUAGGGGCGGCCAUGGGGGUGCUGCACACUGCCCCUGCCCGAGAGCCAGCUCCGCAGCUCCCAUUGGGUGGGAACUGUGGCCAAUGGGAGCUCUGGGGGCGGCACCUGUGGGUGGAGGCAGUGCGUAGAUCCACCUGGCUGUGCCUCUGCGUAGGAGCUGGACAUGCCAGCAGCUUCUGAGGAGGCGCCUGAGGUAAGCGCCACCUGGCGCCCGCACCCCCUCUCGUGCCCUAACCCCCCUGCCCAAGCCCCCUCCCACACCCAAAUGCCCUCAGCCCCAGCCCAGAGCCCCUUCCUGCACCUGAAACCACUCUUCCCCGGUCCCACCACAGAGCCUGCACCCCCAGCUGGAGCCCUCACCCCCUCCCGCACCUCAAUCCUCUGCUCCAGCUCAGUGAAA